Molecule: ribosomal RNA, 306 nt
Filed under: uncultured Chaetothyriales
Lineage: Eukaryota; Fungi; Ascomycota; Eurotiomycetes; Chaetothyriales
Description: eukaryotic LSU rRNA
Rfam family: Eukaryotic large subunit ribosomal RNA (bases 251-306)
Source: RNAcentral
ACGCGAGUAUGUGAAUCAUCGAAUCUUUGAACGCACAUGGCACUGUCUGGAAUCCCGGGCAGUAUAUCUGUUUGAGUAUCGUUUCAAUCUCACUCCCAACCUGCGUGAAAAUGCGGGUUUCGUAGUGGACUUGGGGCUUUGCAGACUUAUCUGCAUGCCUUCAAAUGUAGCCGUACUAACUAUUAGAGCAGUCCGAAAGGAAUCUUUGGUAGAGAGUACCCCUAACGAAUAGGCCUUGAGCCUUGAAUUACCAUCUCAAAUCAGAUAAGAUUACCCGCUGAACUUAAGCAUAUCAAUAAGCGGAGG